GCCAGGCACAGUGAUGCAUGCCUGUAAUCACAGCAAGUCAGGAGGCUGAGUCAGGGGGAUUGCAAACUUGAGGCCAGCCUCUGCAACUUUGUGAGACCCUGUCUCAA
Molecule: small RNA, 107 nt
Filed under: Marmota monax (woodchuck)
Lineage: Eukaryota; Metazoa; Chordata; Mammalia; Rodentia; Sciuridae
Source: RNAcentral